Molecule: long non-coding RNA, 2088 nt
Organism: Cyprinus carpio carpio
Lineage: Eukaryota; Metazoa; Chordata; Actinopteri; Cypriniformes; Cyprinidae
Source: Ensembl
AUAUCAAUAUACAGAUUAUACAGUAUAUAUAGAUUUAUACAUUAUCAAGUAACAAAAAUAUUUAAAAGUUCAUAACCCUGACUAUAAUACAGUAUUUUUUUUUUUUAGAUAUUUAACACAAAAUUGUAUUAAUAUAUAUAUAUAUAUAUAUAUAUAUAUAUAUAUAUAUAUAUAUAUAUAUAUAUAUAUAUAUAUAUAUAUAUAUAUAUAUAUAUAUAUAUAUAUACACUUUUAUUUCUCAUGUGAUGACUGGACACCAUGUGUGAAAUUAAACUUGCAUAAAUGAAUAAUAACAACAAAUAAUAAUGGUAAAAAGAAGAAGAAUUCUGUUAUUUCUUUAUUUAGCUGCAGCAUCUUAAUGCAUUUGCUCCAUUGCAUGAUCAUCCCUCCGUUUGAUUUGGUGGUUAUUAACGUAAACGUAAUGUGAUUAAGGUCUUGCUCCUCGGGAGAGUGCGAGCACAGCAGAGGUUUUUCUGAACAGGAUCUGACACAGAAGCCUCUAACAGCUGUUUGAUUUCAUGUGUUCAUUAACUGUGUGUUGCCGUGCAUGCUAAUGCUCCUCGGGGUUCAGCGUUCUGCUUACGUAACUGUGUGAUGUUGUCCUGUCAGCUCUGCUCGUCCUCAGCGCUCCUGACCUCUCACGUUUAUCAUUAGAGUGUGUUUGUGUGAAUGCAGUGUACUUUGACAUUUCUUAACCCCUGUCCUUCUCUCUUAGAUCACUUCGAGAUGUCAGAGAGCGACCGGGGAAAGCGUUUGGACCUCAGCGAUUAUGGUGAAGGCAAUCCCAUAAUGCACUGCGACAAGCUCAGUGAAACAAAAUCAACUAAGAUGAAAGCAGGAUUGCUCAGUAGGCUUUUCCACGGUGCUGAGAAAUGAAGUGAAUGGAGUUUAAGCAAACAGAGUCAGGUCUGCCUGCAGCAUGAAGUCCCAGAGCUUAUUUUAUCUUUUAUUUUAUUAUUUUAGUUUAUUUUUUAUUAUUUAAAUUUACUUGAAAUAAGAAUUGUAUUAUUUCUACUUCAUUUGCCUUUGAGUAUAUUUGCAGUAAAAUCUGUUUUCUUGUUUUUAGAUCUUUCUGUAUCUAUUUUUUUUUUGUCUUUUUCCUUUUUAUUUAUUUUUUCUCUUAUUGUUUUAUUUUAUUUUAUACAGGUAAAUUAAUGUUUAAUUAAUUGUAGGGCUUGUAGAAUCUAUCUUUCUAAAUGUUAUAUUUUAUAUUUAUAUAUAUUGCAGUGUAACAUCUCUCUGCCUAUCAAUAAAUAAUACAACUUUUUUUAAAAUAUAUUUUUUUCCUUUAAUUUAUGUUUAUUUUUUAUUUAUUGGCAGGAAAUUUUACACCUCUAUCUUUCUUUUUAUUUAAUUUAAUUUAAUUUAAUUUUUAUUUUAAUUACUGUUAAUUUUAUGCAUGUUUUAAGUUGCUUGUAUACAAAUUUGAGCAAACAAACUUCUUUGAAUUGACCCAAAGGUGAAUGCAAAGAAGCUUUUUGCAUUGCAAAAUUUUUCAUAAGAUAUAGAUUUUGACAUUUAUUUAUUUAUUUAUUUGCCAGUUUAGUUUUGCUGGUUAAAGUCUGUGCUGAUGCAACAUCAAUAUCAGAAGUUGCUCUCUUCUGCCAAAACAGCCCUAGAAUAUGAACAUGUGCCAAGAGAGACGGACAGACAGACUCCUGGAAAACAAGCUAAUAAGGUUAGCAUAUAUAAACAAAAAUGGAUUAAUGAAAUAAAACAGAAUAAUAUUUAAUCAGACUGAAGAAAGUAAAUAUUAAUGAGCCUGCCGUGUUUGUUUGUUUGUGUCGGCGGACAAACCCACCCUGAAGUUUGGAGACGUCUUGAUGCAAAUUGUGUGUAACUUGUCAGAGGCUAACAGCUCUGAAUAUUUUAUGAAGGGUCGCAAAAAAUCUUUGCGAGUGCAAUAAGACAGAAUAAUUCAUUGGUUUGACUGCAGUGACAUGAGACGAGACAACUUUUGAGUUUGAGGACUUUCAGCUUUAAAUAUCUAAUACAGAGGGUGUCCAAAAGUUUGAAAACACUAGUUAGAUUUUUUAAUCAUUUAAAACAUCAUUUUCCACUACCAUAUAAAUUAUAUAUCAGAUCCGU